CUACGGGGCGCUGCAGUGAGGGAUAUUGCGCAAUGGGGGAAACCCUGACGCAGCGACGCCGCGUGGAUGAUCAAGGCCUUCGGGUCGUAAAAUCCUGUCAGAAGGAAAGAAGUGUAUGGUAGCUAAUAUCUGCCAUACUUGACGGUACCUUCAAAGGAAGCACCGGCUAACUCCGUGCCAGCAGCCGCGGUAAUACGGAGGGUGCAAGCGUUGUUCGGAAUUACUGGGCGUAAAGCGCGCGUAGGCGGUUUUGUAAGUCAGAUGUGAAAGUCAACGGCUCAACCAUGGAAGUGCAUUUGAAACUGUAAGACUUGAGUAUUGGAGGGGGUAGUGGAAUUCCCGGUGUAGAGGUGAAAUUCGUAGAUAUCGGGAGGAAUACCGGUGGCGAAGGCGACUAUCUGGCCAAAUACUGACGCUGAGGUGCGAAAGCGUGGGGAGCAAACAGGAUUAGAUACCCUAGUAGUC
RNAcentral lists this ribosomal RNA (465 nucleotides) under uncultured bacterium. RNAcentral's name for it is "partial 16S ribosomal RNA". It matches the Rfam family "Bacterial small subunit ribosomal RNA", at positions 339 to 795 of the family's 1533-position model. The record is from RNAcentral.